GGGGACAUAACGUAAAAAUAUUCGUGCGCGAUUUUUUUUGUCUUGUAUAAAAUUUCUUCUACACUACAACUAUAUUUCUCUUGUACACCGCGCGCGUCAAAAAAAAAAAAAGAAACGAAAUAAAAACACGUCGUCGUAGUCGCCGUCGUUGAAGUUAUAUUUUUAAGCAAAUCAAGCGGGACUUGUUCACAUACGAAAAAAAAAACAUAACAACAACAGUUAAAAAAAAACUUCUUGUAUAUUAUUUCAUUUGGAAAGGUAAAAACAUACAUACAGCGAGCUGCGGUGCUGUUACAUUACAAGUCAACCUAGAUAUUUCGUCGUUGUCGUCGUCAUAAUAUCCAAUAUAUGUCACACUCGUAUAUGUGCAAUAAUAAUCACAAUAAUCAAGUUUGUCGUGUAUAAAAUAUCAGAAAAGCAUGUAAAGAAAGAAGAAAAUACACGUAAAAUAUCAAAAAAGUAAAAAAAAAGUGUAAAAAAAAGUGAGAAAGAAUAAAAAUAAAGAAGAAAAAAAAAGAAAGAAAUGUUGAAAUAAAAAAAAAGAAAAAAAAAUAUCUUGUGCUCCAUUUAUGAUUGUCAAACAAAAUUAUAAAGAAUCCACCAGAUGAUUUAUUACGUAUUUAUUUCACUAAAAUAAUACUCUGUGUGACAGUGAAACGCGUUGUAAACAAAUAUAUCGGAUUAACUUUACUUUACCGACUUGUGACAUUUUUAUUAUUCCGCAUCAUAUUCAACAGCAUCGAAAAUCCUCACGAAGAAAAAAAAAUUAACGGAAGGAAUCUUCUUACUAAAAUAUUCAUGAAAGUGCUGCAUGUAGAUCUAAAACAACAACAGCAUCCAUCAACAGACAACUUACUCACAGAUAUGACGUAAAUGUGCAAAUUGUGGAGAAGAAUAAUAAAAGACGAAAAGUGUGGAAAAAUGAAAGAAUUAUAUAACAAAUUUGAAUGAAACAAAGAUAAAAAAAAAAGUAAAAUAUCUCUUUAAAUGUGACAUAUACGCGAAAAUUUUUGUGAAAGAAAAAAAAUCAUUAAAAGAGGAAAAACAAGUGAAAAGAAUUUAGAAACAAAGGCUGGAAAAGUACUUUAUUCUGCGCCAUAUCAUCUUGAAAUUUUUGCCAUAUCACCAAACACACACAUUUUCCCAAAAAGUAAUUUCGAAUCACAUUCCCAUUGUCACCCGUGUCCAAAAUUGUACGCAACAGUAGCAGAGUUUUUUUUUCGAAAGAUGAGCCGUGAAACAAUAAGCUUAGCAAAUGGAGGUCUGCAAUGUUAAGAUAACCAUUCAGCAUCCAUGUGAGAAGGAACCAACAACUACUCCGAGAAAUACGAACAACAACAAAAAUAUUAAAUGCUACAAAUUAAAUAAAAUCAUUGAUCAUACUUGGUGUUUAUCAAACGAACAUUCUAGCAGCGAUUCGAUACAAUGCUGCUCCACACGGAUAGCGUAUCAUCGUCGCCAAUACCGGGAACGAAUGUCGAUGCGAAUCCGCAUGCCAGUCUCUCGUAC
This is a long non-coding RNA of Culicoides brevitarsis, 1509 nucleotides long. RefSeq lists it as uncharacterized. The transcript has 3 exons. Lineage: Eukaryota; Metazoa; Arthropoda; Insecta; Diptera; Ceratopogonidae. The record is from RefSeq and is a predicted model, not a curated record.